RNAcentral lists this ribosomal RNA (921 nucleotides) under uncultured bacterium. RNAcentral's name for it is "bacterial SSU rRNA". It matches the Rfam family "Bacterial small subunit ribosomal RNA", at positions 8 to 916 of the family's 1533-position model. The record is from RNAcentral.
AGAGUUUGAUCAUGGCUCAGGACGAACGCUGACGGCGUGCUUAACACAUGCAAGUCAACGAGAAAAGGGUAGCAAUACUCUGAGUAAAGUGGCGCACGGGUGAGUAAUAUGUAAGUAAUCUGCCCUUGGCUUUGGAAUAACGCAGAGAAAUUUGCGCUAAUACCGAAUAAUGCAGCGGCAUCGCAUGAUGAUGUUGUUAAAGUUGCAGCAAUGUAACGGCUAGGGAUGAGCUUGCAUCUGAUUAGCUAGUUGGUAGGGUAACGGCCUACCAAGGCUACGAUCAGUAGCUGGUCUGAGAGGAUGAUCAGCCACACUGGAACUGAGACACGGUCCAGACUCCUACGGGAGGCAGCAGUGAGGAAUAUUGGGCAAUGCCCGCAAGGGUGACCCAGCAACGCCGCGUGGAGGAUGAAUGCCGUAAGGUUGUAAACUCCUGUGAGAUGGGAUGAAAGUGCAUAAUUCGUAAGGGUUAUGCUUUGACCGUACCAUCAGAGGAAACCCCGGCUAACUACGUGCCAGCAGCCGCGGUAAUACGUAGGGGGUAAGCGUUGUCCGGAUUUACUGGGUGUAAAGGGCGCGUAGGCGGGCCCGUAAGUCAGAGGUGAAAGCCUGCAGCUUAACUGCAGAACUGCCUUUGAUACUGCGGGUCUUGAAUUCAGAAGAGAGAGAUGGAAUUCCAGGUGUAGUGGUGAAAUACGUAGAUAUCUGGAAGAACACCAGUGGCGAAGGCGAUCUCUUGGUCUGAUAUUGACGCUGAGGCGCGAAAGCGUGGGUAGCAGACAGGAUUAGAUACCCUGGUAGUCCACGCUGUAAACGAUGAAUACUAGAUGUUGGGCAGAAAUGUUCAGUGUCGCAGCUAACGCAUUAAGUAUUCCACCUGGGGAGUACGAUCGCAAGGUUGAAACUCAAAUGAUUUGACGG